RNAcentral lists this ribosomal RNA (481 nucleotides) under uncultured bacterium. RNAcentral describes it as "partial 16S ribosomal RNA". It matches the Rfam family "Bacterial small subunit ribosomal RNA", at positions 28 to 507 of the family's 1533-position model. The record is from RNAcentral.
GAUGAACGCUGGCGGCGUGCUUAACACAUGCAAGUCGAACGAAGCAUUUGCGACAGAUUUUUUCGGAAUGAAGUUGCUUAUGACUGAGUGGCGGACGGGUGAGUAACGCGUGGGUAACCUGCCUUGUACUGGGGGAUAGCAGCUGGAAACGGCUGGUAAUACCGCAUAAGCGCACAAUGUUGCAUGACAUGGUGUGAAAAACUCCGGCGGUAUAAGAUGGACCCGCGUCUGAUUAGCUAGUUGGUGAGAUAACAGCCCACCAAGGCGACGAUCAGUAGCCGACCUGAGAGGGUGACCGGCCACAUUGGGACUGAGACACGGCCCAGACUCCUACGGGAGGCAGCAGUGGGGAAUAUUGCACAAUGGAGGAAACUCUGAUGCAGCGACGCCGCGUGAGUGAAGAAGUAAUUCGUUAUGUAAAGCUCUAUCAGCAGGGAAGAUAGUGACGGUACCUGACGAAGAAGCUCCGGCUAAAUACGUG